Molecule: small nucleolar RNA, 72 nt
Organism: Amblyraja radiata (thorny skate)
Lineage: Eukaryota; Metazoa; Chordata; Chondrichthyes; Rajiformes; Rajidae
Product: small nucleolar RNA SNORD49
Exons: 1
Source: RefSeq, a predicted model, not a curated record
UAUGAUGAUGAUAAUGCUCUGAAUAGGAAGUGCCAUCAGAUGCAAUAAAGGAUGAUACUUUACAUUCUGACU